RNAcentral lists this ribosomal RNA (465 nucleotides) under Vreelandella stevensii. RNAcentral describes it as "partial 16S ribosomal RNA". It matches the Rfam family "Bacterial small subunit ribosomal RNA", at positions 338 to 795 of the family's 1533-position model. Lineage: Bacteria; Pseudomonadati; Pseudomonadota; Gammaproteobacteria; Oceanospirillales; Halomonadaceae. The record is from RNAcentral.
CCUACGGGGGGCUGCAGUGGGGAAUAUUGGACAAUGGGGGGAACCCUGAUCCAGCCAUGCCGCGUGUGUGAAGAAGGCCCUCGGGUUGUAAAGCACUUUCAGUGAGGAAGAACGCCUGGUGGUUAAUACCCAUCAGGAAAGACAUCACUCACAGAAGAAGCACCGGCUAACUCCGUGCCAGCAGCCGCGGGAAUACGGAGGGUGCGAGCGUUAAUCGGAAUUACUGGGCGUAAAGCGCGCGUAGGUGGCUUGAUAAGCCGGUUGUGAAAGCCCCGGGCUCAACCUGGGAACGGCAUCCGGAACUGUCAAGCUAGAGUGCAGGAGAGGAAGGUAGAAUUCCCGGUGUAGCGGUGAAAUGCGUAGAGAUCGGGAGGAAUACCAGUGGCGAAGGCGGCCUUCUGGACUGACACUGACACUGAGGUGCGAAAGCGUGGGUAGCAAACAGGAUUAGAUACCCUAGUAGUC